GACGGGGGGGGCAAGUGUUCUUCGGAAUGACUGGGCGUAAAGGGCACGUAGGCGGUGAAUCGGGUUGAAAGUGAAAGUCGCCAAAAAGUGGCGGAAUGCUCUCGAAACCAAUUCACUUGAGUGAGACAGAGGAGAGUGGAAUUUCGUGUGUAGGGGGUGAAAUCCGUAGAUCUACGAAGGAACGCCAAAAGCGAAGGCAGCUCUCUGGGUCCCUACCGACGCUGGGGUGCGAAAGCAUGGGGGAGCGAACAGG
Molecule: ribosomal RNA, 253 nt
Filed under: uncultured bacterium
Lineage: Bacteria
Description: partial 16S ribosomal RNA
Rfam family: Bacterial small subunit ribosomal RNA
Source: RNAcentral